RNAcentral lists this long non-coding RNA (206 nucleotides) under Nicotiana benthamiana. RNAcentral describes it as "long non-coding RNA (NBEN_LNC007903)". The record is from RNAcentral. Lineage: Eukaryota; Viridiplantae; Streptophyta; Magnoliopsida; Solanales; Solanaceae.
CCCACUACGGCGUGCAGCCCAAGCCACCCAUAACAUUUAUCGUCGAUGCCGCUCACUGGGGGUGUGUACAGACUCCGAAGGGGCUCCUACAGCCCAAGCACAAUAACAAGCCAUCUAGUGGCGAACAAUCAAACCUGGUCAGUCCAUGUUACCUGACCGCUCAUAUCAUACAGUGUCCAAGUUACCACUGUCCAAUCACCGCUGCG